UGGUGAGGUAAUGGCUCACCAAGGCGACGAUCCCUAGCUGGUCUGAGAGGAUGAUCAGCCACACUGGAACUGAGACACGGUCCAGACUCCUACGGGAGGCAGCAGUGGGGAAUAUUGCACAAUGGGCGCAAGCCUGAUGCAGCCAUGCCGCGUGUAUGAAGAAGGCCUUCGGGUUGUAAAGUACUUUCAGCAGUGAGGAAGGUAUCAUAGUUAAUAGCUGCGGUAUUUGACGUUAACUGCAGAAGAAGCACCGGCUAACUCCGUGCCAGCAGCCGCGGUAAUACGGAGGGUGCGAGCGUUAAUCGGAAUUACUGGGCGUAAAGCGCAUGCAGGUGGUUUGUUAAGUCAGAUGUGAAAGCCCGGGGCUCAACCUCGGAAUAGCAUUUGAAACUGGCAGACUAGAGUACUGUAGAGGGGGGUAGAAUUUCAGGUGUAGCGGUGAAAUGCGUAGAGAUCUGAAGG
RNAcentral lists this ribosomal RNA (462 nucleotides) under Vibrio sp. 06-028660. Its description in RNAcentral is "bacterial SSU rRNA". It matches the Rfam family "Bacterial small subunit ribosomal RNA", at positions 250 to 704 of the family's 1533-position model. The record is from RNAcentral. Lineage: Bacteria; Pseudomonadati; Pseudomonadota; Gammaproteobacteria; Vibrionales; Vibrionaceae.